CCUACGGGAGGCAGCAGUGGGGAAUUUUGGACAAUGGACGCAAGUCUGAUCCAGCCAUGCCGCGUGUGGGAAGAAGGCCUUCGGGUUGUAAACCACUUUUGUCAGGGAAGAAACGGCUCGGGUUAAUACCUUGGGCUAAUGACGGUACCUGAAGAAUAAGCACCGGCUAACUACGUGCCAGCAGCCGCGGUAAUACGUAGGGUGCAAGCGUUAAUCGGAAUUACUGGGCGUAAAGCGUGCGCAGGCGGUUAUGCAAGACAGAUGUGAAAUCCCCGGGCUCAACCUGGGAACUGCAUUUGUGACUGCAUGGCUAGAGUACGGUAGAGGGGGAUGGAAUUCCGCGUGUAGCAGUGAAAUGCGUAGAUAUGCGGAGGAACACCGAUGGCGAAGGCAAUCCCCUGGACCUGUACUGACGCUCAUGCACGAAAGCGUGGGGAGCAAACAGGAUUAGAUACCCUGGUAGUCCACGCCCUAAACGAUGUCAACUGGUUGUUGGGAGGGUUUCUUCUCAGUAACGUAGCUAACGCGUGAAGUUGACCGCCUGGGGAUACGGCCGCAAGGUUGAAACUCAAAUGAAUUGACCGGNGNGAGAGNGCGAGACGACGACGAGGGAGGAGG
This 618-nucleotide ribosomal RNA is filed under the name uncultured bacterium. RNAcentral's name for it is "bacterial SSU rRNA". It matches the Rfam family "Bacterial small subunit ribosomal RNA", at positions 338 to 951 of the family's 1533-position model. The record is from RNAcentral.